UGGGGAAUUUUGCGCAAUGGGGGAAACCCUGACGCAGCAACGCCGCGUGGAGGACGAAGGUUUUCGGAUUGUAAACUCCUGUCCUCUGGGACGAUAAUGACGGUACCAGAGGAGGAAGCCACGGCUAACUACGUGCCAGCAGCCGCGGUAAUACGUAGGUGGCAAGCGUUGUCCGGAAUUACUGGGCGUAAAGGGCGCGUAGGCGGUACCCUAAGUUAGAUGUGAAACCCCGGAGCUUAACUUCGGAACUGCAUUUAAAACUGGGGAACUCGAGUGUCGGAGAGGAAAGUGGAAUUCCUAGUGUAGCGGUGAAAUGCGUAGAUAUUAGGAGGAACACCAGUGGCGAAGGCGACUUUCUGGACGAUAACUGACGCUGAGGCGCGAAAGCGUGGGGAGCAAACAGGAUUAGAUACCCUGGUAGUCCACGCUGUAAACGAUGGAUACUAGGUGUGGGAGGUAUCGAACCCUUCCGUGCCGCAGCUAACGCAAUAAGUAUCCCGCCUGGGGAGUACGGCCGCAAGGUUG
Molecule: ribosomal RNA, 525 nt
Filed under: uncultured bacterium
Lineage: Bacteria
Description: bacterial SSU rRNA
Rfam family: Bacterial small subunit ribosomal RNA
Source: RNAcentral